This 68-nucleotide transfer RNA is filed under the name Xylosandrus morigerus. RNAcentral describes it as "tRNA-Asp". It matches the Rfam family "tRNA". From Rfam's summary of the family: Transfer RNA (tRNA) molecules are approximately 80 nucleotides in length. Their secondary structure includes four short double-helical elements and three loops (D, anti-codon, and T loops). The record is from RNAcentral. Lineage: Eukaryota; Metazoa; Arthropoda; Insecta; Coleoptera; Curculionidae.
AAAAAUUUAGUUAAAUCACGCAUAACGUUAGCUUGUCAAGCUAAAAUUAUUAAUAUUAAUAAUUUUUA